UUAAGCGACUAAGCGUACACGGUGGAUGCCCUGGCAGUCAGAGGCGAUGAAGGACGUGCUAAUCUGCGAUAAGCGUCGGUAAGGUGAUAUGAACCGUUAUAACCGGCGAUUUCCGAAUGGGGAAACCCAGUGUGUUUCGACACACUAUCAUUAACUGAAUCCAUAGGUUAAUGAGGCGAACCGGGGGAACUGAAACAUCUAAGUACCCCGAGGAAAAGAAAUCAACCGAGAUUCCCCCAGUAGCGGCGAGCGAACGGGGAGCAGCCCAGAGCCUGAAUCAGUGUGUGUGUUAGUGGAAGCGUCUGGAAAGGCGCGCGAUACAGGGUGACAGCCCCGUACACAAAAAUACACAUACUGUGAGCUCGAUGAGUAGGGCGGGACACGUGGUAUCCUGUCUGAAUAUGGGGGGACCAUCCUCCAAGGCUAAAUACUCCUGACUGACCGAUAGUGAACCAGUACCGUGAGGGAAAGGCGAAAAGAACCCCGGCGAGGGGAGUGAAAAAGAACCUGAAACCGUGUACGUACAAGCAGUGGGAGCACGCUUAGGCGUGUGACUGCGUACCUUUUGUAUAAUGGGUCAGCGACUUAUAUUCUGUAGCAAGGUUAACCGAAUAGGGGAGCCGAAGGGAAACCGAGUCUUAACUGGGCGUUAAGUUGCAGGGUAUAGACCCGAAACCCGGUGAUCUAGCCAUGGGCAGGUUGAAGGUUGGGUAACACUAACUGGAGGACCGAACCGACUAAUGUUGAAAAAUUAGCGGAUGACUUGUGGCUGGGGGUGAAAGGCCAAUCAAACCGGGAGAUAGCUGGUUCUCCCCGAAAGCUAUUUAGGUAGCGCCUCGUGAAUUCAUCUCCGGGGGUAGAGCACUGUUUCGGCAAGGGGGUCAUCCCGACUUACCAACCCGAUGCAAACUGCGAAUACCGGAGAAUGUUAUCACGGGAGACACACGGCGGGUGCUAACGUCCGUCGUGAAGAGGGAAACAACCCAGACCGCCAGCUAAGGUCCCAAAGUCAUGGUUAAGUGGGAAACGAUGUGGGAAGGCCCAGACAGCCAGGAUGUUGGCUUAGAAGCAGCCAUCAUUUAAAGAAAGCGUAAUAGCUCACUGGUCGAGUCGGCCUGCGCGGAAGAUGUAACGGGGCUAAACCAUGCACCGAAGCUGCGGCAGCGACGCUUAUGCGUUGUUGGGUAGGGGAGCGUUCUGUAAGCCUGCGAAGGUGUGCUGUGAGGCAUGCUGGAGGUAUCAGAAGUGCGAAUGCUGACAUAAGUAACGAUAAAGCGGGUGAAAAGCCCGCUCGCCGGAAGACCAAGGGUUCCUGUCCAACGUUAAUCGGGGCAGGGUGAGUCGACCCCUAAGGCGAGGCCGAAAGGCGUAGUCGAUGGGAAACAGGUUAAUAUUCCUGUACUUGGUGUUACUGCGAAGGGGGGACGGAGAAGGCUAUGUUGGCCGGGCGACGGUUGUCCCGGUUUAAGCGUGUAGGCUGGUUUUCCAGGCAAAUCCGGAAAAUCAAGGCUGAGGCGUGAUGACGAGGCACUACGGUGCUGAAGCAACAAAUGCCCUGCUUCCAGGAAAAGCCUCUAAGCAUCAGGUAACAUCAAAUCGUACCCCAAACCGACACAGGUGGUCAGGUAGAGAAUACCAAGGCGCUUGAGAGAACUCGGGUGAAGGAACUAGGCAAAAUGGUGCCGUAACUUCGGGAGAAGGCACGCUGAUAUGUAGGUGAAGUCCCUCGCGGAUGGAGCUGAAAUCAGUCGAAGAUACCAGCUGGCUGCAACUGUUUAUUAAAAACACAGCACUGUGCAAACACGAAAGUGGACGUAUACGGUGUGACGCCUGCCCGGUGCCGGAAGGUUAAUUGAUGGGGUUAGCGCAAGCGAAGCUCUUGAUCGAAGCCCCGGUAAACGGCGGCCGUAACUAUAACGGUCCUAAGGUAGCGAAAUUCCUUGUCGGGUAAGUUCCGACCUGCACGAAUGGCGUAAUGAUGGCCAGGCUGUCUCCACCCGAGACUCAGUGAAAUUGAACUCGCUGUGAAGAUGCAGUGUACCCGCGGCAAGACGGAAAGACCCCGUGAACCUUUACUAUAGCUUGACACUGAACAUUGAGCCUUGAUGUGUAGGAUAGGUGGGAGGCUUUGAAGUGUGGACGCCAGUCUGCAUGGAGCCGACCUUGAAAUACCACCCUUUAAUGUUUGAUGUUCUAACGUGGACCCGUGAUCCGGGUUGCGGACAGUGUCUGGUGGGUAGUUUGACUGGGGCGGUCUCCUCCUAAAGAGUAACGGAGGAGCACGAAGGUUGGCUAAUCCUGGUCGGACAUCAGGAGGUUAGUGCAAUGGCAUAAGCCAGCUUGACUGCGAGCGUGACGGCGCGAGCAGGUGCGAAAGCAGGUCAUAGUGAUCCGGUGGUUCUGAAUGGAAGGGCCAUCGCUCAACGGAUAAAAGGUACUCCGGGGAUAACAGGCUGAUACCGCCCAAGAGUUCAUAUCGACGGCGGUGUUUGGCACCUCGAUGUCGGCUCAUCACAUCCUGGGGCUGAAGUAGGUCCCAAGGGUAUGGCUGUUCGCCAUUUAAAGUGGUACGCGAGCUGGGUUUAGAACGUCGUGAGACAGUUCGGUCCCUAUCUGCCGUGGGCGCUGGAGAACUGAGGGGGGCUGCUCCUAGUACGAGAGGACCGGAGUGGACGCAUCACUGGUGUUCGGGUUGUCAUGCCAAUGGCACUGCCCGGUAGCUAAAUGCGGAAGAGAUAAGUGCUGAAAGCAUCUAAGCACGAAACUUGCCCCGAGAUGAGUUCUCCCUGACUCCUUGAGAGUCCUGAAGGAACGUUGAAGACGACGACGUUGAUAGGCCGGGUGUGUAAGCGCAGCGAUGCGUUGAGCUAACCGGUACUAAUGAACCGUGAGGCUUAACCUU
This 2902-nucleotide ribosomal RNA is filed under the name Escherichia coli UMEA 3805-1. RNAcentral's name for it is "bacterial LSU rRNA". It matches the Rfam family "Bacterial large subunit ribosomal RNA". The record is from RNAcentral. Lineage: Bacteria; Pseudomonadati; Pseudomonadota; Gammaproteobacteria; Enterobacterales; Enterobacteriaceae.